GAAGCUACGGCAUCAGUAAUGAUGGGUAGGGGAGCUUCCCAUACGGGUUGAAGCAUGACCGUAAGGACAUGUGGACAGUAUGGGAGUGAGAAUGUUGGCAUGAGUAGCGAGAUGUGGGUGAGAAUCCCACAGGCCGUAAACCCAAGGUUUCCAGGGGAAGGUUCGUCCGCCCUGGGUUAGUCGGGACCUAAGCUGAGGCCGAAAGGCGUAGGUGAUGGACAACAGGUUGAUAUUCCUGUACUACCGAUAACCGUUUGAGAGAAGGGAUGACACAGUAGGAUAAGCUAAGCACACUGUUGGUUAUGUGUGCCCAAGCAUUGAGGCAGUCAAAGUAGGCAAAUCCGCUUUGAUAAUGCUGGGAUGUGAUGGGGAGCGAAAUUUAGUAGCGAA
Molecule: ribosomal RNA, 390 nt
Filed under: Clostridioides difficile
Lineage: Bacteria; Bacillati; Bacillota; Clostridia; Peptostreptococcales; Peptostreptococcaceae
Description: bacterial LSU rRNA
Rfam family: Bacterial large subunit ribosomal RNA
Source: RNAcentral